This 592-nucleotide long non-coding RNA is filed under the name Cricetulus griseus (Chinese hamster). RNAcentral's name for it is "lncRNA (ENSCGRG00000025222.1)". Lineage: Eukaryota; Metazoa; Chordata; Mammalia; Rodentia; Cricetidae. The record is from RNAcentral.
CCCCGCGCUGGGCGUCCCCACCCCGGACCUCACCGCCUGGGACUAAGACUUUGUCUGACCCUGUGCUGGGGACACAGCGCGGUUUGUCCCGGUGUCCCUGAGCCGCCCAAGGCCAAUGCUGGUCAGGUUCGUCAGGAUGAAACCUGAGAGCUUGAGGAUUCCGGUAAAGUACACGCAGCACUUAAAAUGAAUGUUCACGGAAACAGAUGCUGUCACAGUCCCGCUGUGUCCUAGGUUCAGAGGAUACUCUUGGGAGUAGGAACACUCCCUGUUGCUGGAGAAAAGAGACGGAUAAAGACCCCACACAAGCGUCCCUCACCAGAGCAUGGAAACUCCAGGAGGGCCACCAGAGGCCUCUACCCAGAUGUUUACAUGAGGCACUAACAAGGAAAGAGGGAGCAGGAUUCAACAAAAUGCUUCAGAGGGCAAAGGUGCUGUCACUAAAACUGACAACCUGAGUUCACGCCGGGAAACCCACAGGGUGGAGGACAGACACCCAAUAGUGUCCUCUGAUCUCUACAUGCUGUGGUAUGUACACACACGCACGUACGCAGCAGGCAGCACACACACACACACACACACACACACGCGC